GAAAUGCGAUAAGUAAUGUGAAUUGCAGAAUUCAGUGAAUCAUCGAAUCUUUGAACGCACAUUGCGCCCCCUGGUAUUCCGGGGGGCAUGCCUGUUCGAGCGUCAUUUCACCACUCAAGCCUCGCUUGGUAUUGGGCAACGCGGUCCGCCGCGUGCCUCAAAUCGACCGGCUGGGUCUUCUGUCCCCUAAGCGUUGUGGAAACUAUUCGCUAAAGGGUGUUCGGGAGGCUACGCCGUAAAACAACCCCAUUUCUAAGGUUGACCUCGGGUCAGGUAGGGAUACCCGCUGAACUUAAGC
This 298-nucleotide unclassified non-coding RNA is filed under the name plant metagenome. Its description in RNAcentral is "partial contains 5.8S ribosomal RNA, internal transcribed spacer 2, and large subunit ribosomal RNA". The stretch from base 1 to 105 matches the Rfam family "5.8S ribosomal RNA", at positions 50 to 154 of the family's 154-position model. The record is from RNAcentral.